CCUACGGGCGGCAGCAGUGGGGAAUAUUGGACAAUGGGCGAAAGCCUGAUCCAGCCAUGCCGCGUGUGUGAAGAAGGCCUUCGGGUUGUAAAGCACUUUCAGUGGGGAAGAAAGCCUUGGGGCUAAUACCCUCGAGGAAGGACAUCACCCACAGAAGAAGCACCGGCUAACUCCGUGCCAGCAGCCGCGGUAAUACGGAGGGUGCGAGCGUUAAUCGGAAUUACUGGGCGUAAAGCGCGCGUAGGCGGUCUGAUAAGCCGGUUGUGAAAGCCCCGGGCUCAACCUGGGAACGGCAUCCGGAACUGUCAGGCUAGAGUGCAGGAGAGGAAGGUAGAAUUCCCGGUGUAGCGGUGAAAUGCGUAGAGAUCGGGAGGAAUAACAGUGGCGAAGGCGGCCUUCUGGACUGACACUGACGCUGAGGUGCGAAAGCGUGGGUAGCAAACAGGAUUAGAUACCCGUGUAGUC
This 465-nucleotide ribosomal RNA is filed under the name Vreelandella stevensii. Its description in RNAcentral is "partial 16S ribosomal RNA". It matches the Rfam family "Bacterial small subunit ribosomal RNA", at positions 338 to 795 of the family's 1533-position model. The record is from RNAcentral. Lineage: Bacteria; Pseudomonadati; Pseudomonadota; Gammaproteobacteria; Oceanospirillales; Halomonadaceae.